UAAAAGUGUUGAAAAUAUUUUAUAAAUCUAGUUAAAAUAUUUUUUUUGAAAAAUAAUAUGUGUAACUAUUUUUUUCAAAAUUAGACAAUACAACACAUACAUUCGCAACGCACGCACACUCACCCUCUAUGAGUACACAUACGUAAAUCCUACCCCUAUAAACACCUUCGAGAAACUGAACCGGCAGAUCACGAAAUUCACGGAGAGACAUUGCAAAUUGGGUUUGCCUAUGUCAGACCAGCCUUCGCGGGAUGUCAAAGUAGUCAUCGUGUGGUACUGUUAGAUUUCGGUUUGGACAUCAGGGAUUUUGGAUGUUCAUUUUGGACAUUAGGGACUUCGGAUGUGCAUGGCGUUAGUGCUGACCCAAGUAAAGUAAGGCCUUUUUUACUGAUUUAAUCUUACCAGUAUGUAUUGGGUUUGCUAAUACUUGUGAAUAUUCUGAUAAAUAUUGUAACUCCACUAGUAAUGGCGCCGUGUGUCAGAAUUGAUUGAUUCUAGUUCGAAUUGUAUAUGCAAGUUCCACUGCUCUUUUCUUUUUCUUCUACAAUUCAUAACUGACAUGCUCUACCUCUGCUGCAAAACUAUUUCUAUGCCAUUUUAUAUUCUUGUGUUAGCCACCUGUUCAUAUCAAUACUUUUCUCUUUUCACCCAUUGUGGGCGCAUCAAUGUCUAACUCAAGAAACGCUACUGAUUUGGGGCUUGUUUAGAUUCCCCGUCACAUCGAAUCUUUAGACGCAUGCAUUAAGUAUUAAAUAUAGACGAAAAUAAAAACUAAUUGCACAGUUUGAUCGGAAUUGACGAGACGAAUCUUUUAAGCCUAGUUAGUCCAUGAUUGGACAAUAUUUAUCAAAUACAAACGAAAAUGCUACGGUACCCAUUUUGCAAAAAAAUUUGCAACUAAACAAGGCCUUGUUUUGAUUCGAAGUCUUGGUCAACUAUCAUGCUUAUAGUUAGUAGUGAAUUCCAGGAGAUGCCUGAUUGAAUAAUUUGGAGAUGUUUGAUGGAACAGAGAACAGAAUGCAUACCAAUCUAGUCAUACGUUCGAUUCUAUUUCCAUUUUUGACAGUUCAGAUAUUUUGGACCUGAGGGGAACCCUAUUUUCAUUCAUACUCCCUCCGUCCACGGAUACUAGGCGCAACUAGAUUUUUGAGGUGUCCACGGAGAAUUUUUUUUAUUUUUAGCCCAAAUUUAAAACAUAUUUCAAAUUUGAUCCGCUUAUGAAAAUAUUUUCAAAACUAGACCGUUUGGACCCGCCACCAUGCAUG
This 1265-nucleotide long non-coding RNA is filed under the name Sorghum bicolor (sorghum). RNAcentral's name for it is "long non-coding RNA (SBIC_LNC003430)". Lineage: Eukaryota; Viridiplantae; Streptophyta; Magnoliopsida; Poales; Poaceae. The record is from RNAcentral.